This 74-nucleotide transfer RNA is filed under the name Aquisphaera giovannonii. RNAcentral's name for it is "tRNA-Gln". It matches the Rfam family "tRNA". From Rfam's summary of the family: Transfer RNA (tRNA) molecules are approximately 80 nucleotides in length. The record is from RNAcentral. Lineage: Bacteria; Pseudomonadati; Planctomycetota; Planctomycetia; Isosphaerales; Isosphaeraceae.
UCCAGCCUCGUCUAAUGGCAGGACGACACGCUCUGGACGUGUAGAUUGAGGUUCGAUUCCUUGGGCUGGAACCA